GGGGCUUGCCGGGACUUAGAGUAGUUGGAAGCUCAGUCCGCCGGUUGCCGCCUACGCCGCCUGCUGCCGCGUCGCGGUUACCAAGGGCUAGAAAAGGUAGUGGUAGGCGCCACCGUGGAGCCGCUCGGACAUCCCCGGGAGGGUCGUAGGCGCGCUGCCCGCGUCGCCGGGACGCAGCCUCUGCGGACGCCUCGGAGGCGGAAGCGACGACGGAGGCAGGUGCGGCUGGAAGCUUAGUUUGCGUGAGGAAUUAGGAGUCUCUUCACCCCGCAAAAGAGUUUCCAAAGGGGCGGCGGGAGCUCCAGCCCUGUUACAGCACUUACUGGUGAUUCUCUCUGGUGACUGUCAUCUAAGGUGUUAGUAAUGUUUUCGUGCUGUAGAGAACUCACAUUUGCUGAGUGUCCACGGUCGGCCGGGCUGUAUAGCCGUCCUCUCGUAGUCCCUUAGCAGCCCGGUCGGAUGAGGAAAUUAAGCUUUCCCAAGGCGGGAUAGCGCGGGAUAGAUAGCAUGUAUCAGAACCUGGUUUAGAAGCCAGGGCGUUUUAACGACCCUCCCCCCCUUGGUAUGUUCCCUCUGCCACUCUGCUUUUUAUUUACUUAUUUUUUAAAGUAUUUUAUUUAUUCAUGAGAGACACAGAAGGAGGGAGAAGCAGGCUCCAUGCAGGGAGCCUGACGUGGGACUCGAUCCCAGGACUCCAGGAUCAGGCCCUGGGCUGAAGGCAGCGCUAAACCGCUGAGCCACCCGGGCUGCCCUGCCACUCUGCUUUUAAUAGCUUUAGGAUGUAAGAGUAUUCUAGAUUUUUAUUAAUUCAUUUUUUUCAACAAUUUUUUUUUUCUUGAGAGGGGAAGUGCACUGGGGAGCGAGGUGGGCAAAGGAGCAGAGGGAAAGGGAGAGAGAGAUAUUUUUUUUUUCUAUUUUAAGAUCUUAUUUAUCUGAGAGAGAAGGCACAAGCAGGAGGGAGAGGGAGAAGUAGGCUCCUUGCUGAGCAGGGAGUGGCUGGGCUCUAUCCCAGGACCCUGAGAUUAUGACCUGAACCUAAGGCAGACAGAUGCUUAACCAACUGAGCUACCCGGGUGCCCCUGAGAGAGAGAAUUUUUUUUUUAAGAUUUUAUUUAUUCAUGAGAGACACAGAGAGAGGCAGAUUCCUCACAGGGAGCCCAAUGUGGAACUUGAUCCCUGGACCCCUAGGAUCACGCCCUGAGUCAAAGGCAGACACUCAACCUCUGAGCCCCCCAGUCCUCCCUGAGAGAGAGAAUCUUAAGCAGGCUCCACACCCAGUGUGGGGCUGGAUCUCACCACCCAGAGAUCACGACCUGAGCUAAAAUCAAGAGUCCACUGCUUAACCACCUGAGCCACCUGGCACCCUGUUUCCAUAAAUAUUUAUUGAAGUGUACUAAGGGAUACUGGAAGAGCAAGAUAGAUCUGUUCACUACUCUCUUGGGACAUCUAUUCUAGUGACCUAGACUUAUCACAUAACGGGAUUAUACUAUGAUCUCUUACAUUGCAGCACUUGUUCAUUUGUUUUUUUAAUCACUGUGAAUCCCUAAGUGUCAAAAUAUUGAACCAGUACUGAGUGCUUACUAUGUAGCAGUCACUGUUCUGGUCACGGGAUGUAUUCUUGAAUAAUAUGCGAAAUAUAGGCAAAAUACCUGUCUUGAUGAAGCUAACAUUUGUGUGAUAAUCAUUUUCACUAAAUAAUAUUAUACGAGAUUUUUUCACCUCUGUGAAGCAAUCCAGGUACCCGUAUAUCUUUUUGCUUUUUAUCUUUUACACCUUCUCGUUUUUCAUGACCCAGCUCAAAUGUCACUUGCUCUGUGAAACCUUUCCUGAUCCUUAUUUUUUCCUUCUUUGCAGACAGAAUGAAGAACUCCAUGGCAUUGAGUUUAUGGUUCAGUUUAGUUCAGUAAACACUCAUUGAACCUCUUCAAUGGGCAAGACCCUGUAUGAAGUGCUGGGGAUAAAGAUAUAGGUAGGACCUAGGCCUGGCCUUUGAGGGGCUCACAGCCUGGAAUUGGGAGUGUGAGGAGUGGGGAACAGACAGGUAACUACAGCAUGGUGGAGUGUUCCAAUUAAGAGGUGGACUGAGGUGGUAGCACAGAGAAGGGUCAACCUGAGGAGGGGGAGAUCCAGGAAAGCUGUCUGUAUGAGCUAGGCGAAGAAGAGGGGCAGAAGUGUUAUAGACCAAAGGAAUGGAGCAGCACAUGGAUGUAAAUGAGCAUCAUUACUGUGUGCGUGUGUGUGUGUGUGUGUGUGAGAGAGAGAGAGAGAGAGAGAGAGAGAGAGAGAGGAGACGUUACAAUUAACACUGAGAUUAGCUGCUUCACGUUUGAGAUAGAGACCCAAGGUAGCUGAAGAUAACUAGGCAGGCAGCCUUUAAGCUUGGAACUCGGACUUUCUUUUUCCUACCAUCCAGAUAAAGUUCAUACUUUCCUUAGGGUUACUUUCUAGACCAGGUAACAUGGGGAUUAUGUGCCUUUCCUAGCCCAUUUUUUUAAAUCCACACCUUCUCACCUGGUAUUCUUUAUUGGGACUUGGAAUUUCCCAAUGAAUUAGUUGUGUCUGGGUCUCUAUGCCCUCCACAGGUCUAAGUCAUCCUUUAUUUAUGCAUAGCGAGUAUCUUUUCCCAAAUUGUGUCUUAUCUUUCAACUCUGUCUUUGCUGUUUUUAUCAUACAUAGAUUUAUUUUGUAUUAAUUAUAUUAAAAGAUCCUUCCUUCCUGAUUUGUGAUUUGCACAUCUUAUUUAAGCACUGUAGCCUCACUUCAUCAUCACAAAAUUACUCUCUUGUUCACCUUCCUGUCCAUGUUUCUGUCUCAGUCUAUUUCUGGGAUCUUUAGUUUUAUGGGUUUUUUUAAGGCCCCAGCUGAGACAUAUUUUGGAUACCAGCUGAGACACGUUUUGGAGCCUACAUGAGUAGGAUGUAACUAAUGAGAAAGUUCAAGAACUCUGAAUGGCAGGCUAAGAAGGAGUGUAAUAUCUAUUUUACAGGUGAAGAAACAAAAAAAAAAGGAAGUCAAGGGGUCUUUCCCAAGGUUGAAGAUCAAGUAAGUACUAUACAGAUCAGAAUCAAGGUCCUUAUAUACUGUAAGUCGCUGGAGUCUUCUCCCAACAGUCAUCAUCUCUAACAUUCCCCAGCCAGCUAUUUACUCAUUCAUCCAUUCACCUAUGUAGCAGAUAGAUAUGAUUAAUCACAAGAGAGAUUUCCUGAAAGACAGAUUGACUGAAUGAUUAUCAAUCUUUCCCCAUCAAUCUAUCCAUUCAUCUUCCCAACACAUUUUUAGUGAAUUCUAGGUUCAAUGGUAGCUUCUGGAAUUAAAUAGGUGAGUAAGAUAUCAGGGGACCCACAGCAGGUGAGAAGUUUAUUAAGGGGAACAAACAAUUAUAAUAAAGGGAUAAGCAUUAUACUAGGAGAGGUAUAGAGUACUGUGGGAACACACAGGGCAUCCAACCCCUUUUGGGAUGGUAAAAGGUCAGAAAAUUCAUAGUGCCCUGUGUUGAACCAGAGGAGAUACCAACAUCACUCAUUUAUUCCACAGAUAGUUGUGGGAUCUAUUAUGUGCUAGGUGCUGUGUUAGGUACUGGGAAUAAAGAAGUGAGUGUCAUAGGUGCUCUUUUUCCUUUAAAGGAAUUUAGAAUCUAAUUAGGGAGAUCAGAAAUAUGUAUAAAAACCUUUGGGCCCUGGGAAUACAUCUUAUCCUUCAUUUGGCUCACACAUGUUUAUUGGGUAUUUCCUAUAAGCAUCCCAGAGGUGAAAGAGAGAUGGUGGAUUGGAUAUGUUUCCAGACUUGGAGGUUCACAGACCACUGAAGGAACCCCUUCAUGAUCAAUAGUAAUCUUUUGAGGUAGAAAGGGCUCCACCAUUUUCUCCAGCUAGAAAAAAAAAAAAAAAA
Molecule: long non-coding RNA, 3888 nt
Filed under: Canis lupus familiaris (dog)
Lineage: Eukaryota; Metazoa; Chordata; Mammalia; Carnivora; Canidae
Description: lncRNA (ENSCAFG00845006091.1)
Source: RNAcentral